This 465-nucleotide ribosomal RNA is filed under the name Vreelandella stevensii. RNAcentral describes it as "partial 16S ribosomal RNA". It matches the Rfam family "Bacterial small subunit ribosomal RNA", at positions 338 to 795 of the family's 1533-position model. Lineage: Bacteria; Pseudomonadati; Pseudomonadota; Gammaproteobacteria; Oceanospirillales; Halomonadaceae. The record is from RNAcentral.
CCUACGGGUGGCUGCAGUGGGGAAUAUUGGACAAUGGGCGAAAGCCUGAUCCAGCCAUGCCGCGUGUGUGAAGAAGGCCUUCGGGUUGUAAAGCACUUUCAGUGGGGAAGAAAGCCUUGGGGCUAAUACCCUCGAGGAAGGACAUCACCAACAGAAGAAGCACCGGCUAACUCCGUGCCAGCAGCCGCGGUAAUACGGAGGGUGCGAGCGUUAAUCGGAAUUACUGGGCGUAAAGCGCGCGUAGGCGGUCUGAUAAGCCGGUUGUGAAAGCCCCGGGCUCAACCUGGGAACGGCAUCCGGAACUGUCAGGCUAGAGUGCAGGAGAGGAAGGUAGAAUUCCCGGUGUAGCGGUGAAAUGCGUAGAGAUCGGGAGGAAUACCAGUGGCGAAGGCGGCCUUCUGGACUGACACUGACGCUGAGGUGCGAAAGCGUGGGUAGCAAACAGGAUUAGAUACCCUUGUAGUC